RNAcentral lists this ribosomal RNA (675 nucleotides) under Sarcocystis gracilis. RNAcentral's name for it is "SSU rRNA". It matches the Rfam family "Eukaryotic small subunit ribosomal RNA", at positions 455 to 1077 of the family's 1831-position model. Lineage: Eukaryota; Apicomplexa; Conoidasida; Eucoccidiorida; Sarcocystidae. The record is from RNAcentral.
CUCAGGGAGGUAGUGACAAGAAAUAACAACACUGGAAAUUUUAUUUCUAGUGAUUGGAAUGAUGGGAAUUUAAACCCCUUUCAGAGUAACAAUUGGAGGGCAAGUCUGGUGCCAGCAGCCGCGGUAAUUCCAGCUCCAAUAGCGUAUAUUAAAGUUGUUGCAGUUAAAAAGCUCGUAGUUGGAUGUCUGCUGGAAGCAAUCAGUCCGCCCUAUUUGUGGGGUGUGCACUUGAUGAAUUCUGGCAUUUUUGUCCCAAUAUUAUGAUGUAGAAUGUGGGACACAGAGUGUUAUUGGGCGAAAGUUCAAUAGCAUGUCUGUGUUCCGAUUCUUAUUAUAUUGGGAUACUGUUACUUUGAGAAAAUUAGAGUGUUUGAAGCAGGCUUUGAAUUGCCUUGAAUACUGCAGCAUGGAAUAACAAUAUAGGAUUUCGGUUCUAUUUUGUUGGUUUCUAGGACUGAAAUAAUGAUUAAUAGGGACAGUUGGAGGCAUUCGUAUUUAACUGUCAGAGGUGAAAUUCUUAGAUUUGUUAAAGACGAACUACUGCGAAAGCAUUUGCCAAAGAUGUUUUCAUUAAUCAAGAACGAAAGUUAGGGGCUCGAAGACGAUCAGAUACCGUCGUAGUCUUAACCAUAAACUAUGCCGACUAGAGAUAGGAAAAUGCCAUUUUGCUGACCU